AGCGGGGCCCAUCCCGUAAGGCUAAAUACUCCCGAGAGACCGAUAGCGAACCAGUACUGUGAAGGAAAGGUGAAAAGAACCUCGAACAGAGGAGUGAAAAAGACCCUGAAACCAUGCGCCUACAAGCGGUCGGAGCAUGUUAAAAUGUGACGGCGUGCCUUUUGCAUAAUGAACCUACGAGUUACUCUCGCUGGCAAGGUUAAGCGAUUCAGUCGCGCAGCCGAAGCGAAAGCAAGUCCGAACAAGGCGUACAGUCAGCGGGAGUAGACGCGAAACCAAGUGAUCUACCCUUGGUCAGGUUGAAGGUUGGGUAACACCAACUGGAGGACCGCACCGAUAAGCGUUGAAAAGCUUACGGAUGAACUGAGGGUAGGAGUGAAAGGCCAAUCAAACUUGGAGAUAGCUCGUACUCCCCGAAAUGCAUUUAGGUGCAGCCUCGAAGCAGAGUGAUAGAGGUAGAGCGACUGAUAAGAUGCGAGGGCUUCACCGCCUAUCAAGUCUUGACAAACUCCGAAUACUAUCACUUGAUCUUUGGGAGUGAGGGCAUGGGUGCUAAGGUCCAUGUCCGAAAGAGGAACAACUCAGACCACCGGCUAAGGUCCCGAAAUAAGGGCUAAGUUGAACAAACGAAGUAAAACUGCAAAGACAGCUAGGAUGUUGGCUUGGAAGCAGCCAUUCAUUUAAAGAGUGCGUAACAGCUCACUAGUCGAGGAGUUUUGCAUGGAUAAUAAUCGGGCAUAAGCCCUUUACCGAAGCUGUGGAUGUCGUAAGACAUGGUAGGGGAGCAUUCCGGCGGCGACGAAGGCCGUCCUCGAGGACGACUGGAGCUUUCGGAAAAGCAAAUGUAGGUAUAAGUAACGAUAAAGGGGGCGCGAAACCCCCUCGCCAUAAGACUAAGGAUUCCUGAUCAACGCUAAUCGGAUCAGGGUAAGUCGGGCCCUAAGGCGCAGCCGAACGGCGCAGCCGAUGGAAGAAACGGUAAAAAUUCCGUUACUGGAUAUAGGAGCGAUGUGGAGACGGAGAAGUGACACACCCGCCUGCCGACGGAAGCGCAGGUUAAAGGAAGUAGGUAAACGCCGGGCAGGCAAAUCCGCCUGGCGUGCCGAAGCUGACAGUAUCGAGAGCCCCCGGGCAAUCGAAUAGCGGUGGUAAUCAGGCUCCCAAGAAAAUCCGCUAAGCAUAUUCUAUAUUCACCCGUACCCCAAACGGACACACGUAGUCGGGUAGAAUAUACCAAGGCGCUCGAAAGACUCACGGUUAAGGAACUAGGCAAAUUGACCCUGUAACCUCGGGAAAAAGGGUCCCCAGUAAGAUGGGGCGCAGAGAAUAGGUCCAGGCAACUGUUUAACAAAAACACAGGGCUGUGCAAAAUUUCAAGAUGAAGUAUACAGCCUGACACCUGCCCGGUGCCGGAAGGUUAAGAGGAGAGCUUAUCGCAAGAGAAGGCUUGAAUUGAAGCCCCGGUAAACGGCGGCCGUAACUAUAACGGUCCUAAGGUAGCGAAAUUCCUUGUCGG
RNAcentral lists this ribosomal RNA (1516 nucleotides) under human gut metagenome. RNAcentral describes it as "bacterial LSU rRNA". It matches the Rfam family "Bacterial large subunit ribosomal RNA", at positions 445 to 1975 of the family's 2925-position model. The record is from RNAcentral.